UGGGGAAUAUUGCACAAUGGGCGAAAGCCUGAUGCAGCAACGCCGCGUGAGUGAUGAAGGUCUUCGGAUUGUAAAGCUCUGUCUUUUGGGACGAUAAUGACGGUACCAAAGGAGGAAGCCACGGCUAACUACGUGCCAGCAGCCGCGGUAAUACGUAGGUGGCGAGCGUUGUCCGGAUUUACUGGGCGUAAAGGGUGCGUAGGCGGAUGUUUAAGUGAGAUGUGAAAUACCCGGGCUUAACUUGGGUGCUGCAUUUCAAACUGGAUAUCUAGAGUGCAGGAGAGGAGAAUGGAAUUCCUAGUGUAGCGGUGAAAUGCGUAGAGAUUAGGAAGAACACCAGUGGCGAAGGCGAUUCUCUGGACUGUAACUGACGCUGAGGCACGAAAGCGUGGGUAGCAAACAGGAUUAGAUACCCUGGUAGUCCACGCCGUAAACGAUGAGUACUAGGUGUAGGAGGUAUCGACCCCUUCUNUGCCGCAGUAAACACAUUAAGUACUCCGCCUGGGAAGUACGAUCGCAAGAUUAAAACUCUAAAGUGAAUUGACGGGGUC
Molecule: ribosomal RNA, 551 nt
Filed under: uncultured bacterium
Lineage: Bacteria
Description: partial 16S ribosomal RNA
Rfam family: Bacterial small subunit ribosomal RNA
Source: RNAcentral